AUGAACGCUGGCGGCGUGCCUAAUACAUGCAAGUCGAGCGAACGGACGAGAAGCUUGCUUCUCUGAUGUUAGCGGCGGACGGGUGAGUAACACGUGGAUAACCUACCUAUAAGACUGGGAUAACUUCGGGAAACCGGAGCUAAUACCGGAUGAUAUUUUGAACCGCAUGGUUCAAAAGUGAAAGACGGUCUUGCUGUCACCUAUAGAUGGAUCCGCGCUGCAUUAGCUAGUUGGUAAGGUAACGGCUUACCAAGGCAACGAUGCAUAGCCGACCUGAGAGGGUGAUCGGCCACACUGGAACUGAGACACGGUCCAGACUCCUACGGGAGGCAGCAGUAGGGAAUCUUCCGCAAUGGGCGAAAGCCUGACGGAGCAACGCCGCGUGAGUGAUGAAGGUCUUCGGAUCGUAAAACUCUGUUAUUAGGGAAGAACAUAUGUGUAAGUAACUGUGCACAUCUUGACGGUACCUAAUCAGAAAGCCACGGCUAACUACGUG
This 496-nucleotide ribosomal RNA is filed under the name uncultured bacterium. RNAcentral describes it as "partial 16S ribosomal RNA". It matches the Rfam family "Bacterial small subunit ribosomal RNA", at positions 29 to 507 of the family's 1533-position model. The record is from RNAcentral.